This is a long non-coding RNA of Rhincodon typus (whale shark), 577 nucleotides long. RefSeq lists it as uncharacterized. The transcript is spliced from 4 exons. Lineage: Eukaryota; Metazoa; Chordata; Chondrichthyes; Orectolobiformes; Rhincodontidae. The record is from RefSeq and is a predicted model, not a curated record.
AGAAUUUGAAGUUACUGCAAUGAAUUGCCAACCUUUUUACAUAAGGCUUCUGUUCCUAGCAAAGCUGAAAAUUGAGCGAUGAAAUUCUUCACUAAGAAAUUCGGAGGAGUGGAUAUCAGGGUUUCAACUGGCUUUAAAGUCAACCUUCAAAGCUAGAGGUCACGCAGUUGGAUAAAAGUUUUCAGCCAAGAGAGGUGACGAAAAGCAGUGGACCCAGUACCGAUCAUCAUGGCACACCGCUGGUCACAGGCCUCCAAUCCGAAAGGCAACCCUCUACAUCUUACCUAAGCUGGAGGAAGCACAGUUACUAAAAUCUUAUUGAGUGAGGUUAUUUUCAAGGAUGACCUCAAGUAAGGCCAGCGAGGGAGUGAUCUGGACUCAAGGCACAACUAUCAAUGAUAGGACACAUCUAGCUUUUCUUCCACAACCCUACAAAAUAGUUCCCAACAAAUAAAUCCAAAUGCCUUUUGAAAUUUCCCAAGGAAGCGGUUUCCACCACUCUUUCACAUAAUGUGUUCCAGAUCACCAUAAUCCUGUGUGGAAUAAAUUUGUUUCUCUCGUUCAUUUUUUAAAUCUA